GAAAUGCGAUAAGUAGUGUGAAUUGCAGAAUUCAGUGAAUCAUCGAAUCUUUGAACGCACAUUGCGCCCUUUGGUAUUCCAAAGGGCAUGCCUGUUCGAGCGUCGUUUGUACCCUCAAGCUUUGCUUGGUGUUGGGCGUCUUGUCUCCAGUUCGCUGGAGACUCGCCUUAAAGUAAUUGGCAGCCGGCCUACUGGUUUCGGAGCGCAGCACAAGUCGCGCUCUCUUCCAGCCAAGGUCAGCAUCCACAAUGCCUUUUUUCAACUUUUGACCUCGGAUCAGGUAGAGAUACCCGCUGAACUUAAGC
Molecule: unclassified non-coding RNA, 305 nt
Filed under: plant metagenome
Description: partial contains 5.8S ribosomal RNA, internal transcribed spacer 2, and large subunit ribosomal RNA
Rfam family: 5.8S ribosomal RNA (bases 1-105)
Source: RNAcentral